RNAcentral lists this long non-coding RNA (558 nucleotides) under Callithrix jacchus (white-tufted-ear marmoset). Its description in RNAcentral is "lncRNA (ENSCJAG00000077187.1)". The record is from RNAcentral. Lineage: Eukaryota; Metazoa; Chordata; Mammalia; Primates; Cebidae.
UUUUCUUGGGAAUUCCAUCAAGAAGGUCUGCUCUGCCUAUCACCACAGACUCUAGUCUUCAGCUGGGGCAGAACCCCCUGUGCCUUACUAUUUGCCACUUGUCAAGUCCACAAUGAUAUUGGCAAGUCAGCACCAGGUCUGAACUCUACUCUCUUUGUGGGAGAAUAGAUCAAACGGGCCUUGACUGCCUGCCAAGAUUAAUUUGAAUUCUUCCUGUGAUAAGAGAUGGGCGAAGAGGAGUCACUGAUGUGUUUUAAGUAUGAAUGGAGCAAAGCUCACUAUCAUUUUGGCAUCAAUGUGGAGAAUGGAUGGAGGAGGAUGAUAUUUGUUAGAAGACUGCACAAGAUUCCAGUUGAGGAACGGGAACUCUUUUCAGAAGACUUUGCUUUUUCUCAUAAGCUGACCCAGAAAAUCAAGUAUCUGGCCCCUUUUACCCCUGUGAUGGAGGAGAGCAUUCUUGGGAAUAGAUGUCAAGUGAACCAACCUGUGGGAUUUACCUCUAUUAGGGAGGCGACUACUUCAUGUAACUGCAGUGGUCUUUAUUAUUUAAAACACUGA